GUCAGAAUCUAUUUUCUUUGGGCAUUUCUACUGAAAUACAUAUUCUCAUAGCUAACCACAUAGCGGCAAUUGCAGGUCCAAGAUUCCAAGGACGUGUUCAGACACUUAGCCAAAUUUAUUUGCAGCUGGUGGUGGUAAUUACUCGGUUCAGAAGCUGAAUACAAGACCUCGUGAGCUAAAGUCACUUGAUGCAUUUAGUUUAAAUAGAAGAGGAAGCAACAGGCAGAGGGCAUGCUGACCAGGAUCCUGAUGCGCCGCUGCUCUCGUGACGGUCACCUCCGUCCCCAAUCUUCUGGUGCUUCGCAGCUCGCUGAUGCAUGACUGCUUUCCGCUGAGCAAAGGCUCCAGGGCGGACAAGAGUGCACAGACUAUGAUGUGCGCGUAUGGCACAAGCAAGAGAAGGACAUGGAGCAGGCGACGAAUCGGCAGUAGAGUCCAUGGGAGCAUGAUAGGCUGCUCGCCUGUGUCGAUAGGCUGAAUUGGGGAGCAGAGCUGGUGGGACUUGGGAGUAGUAGUAGAGAUGGCAAAAGGGAACCGGAUUAUCAGGGCCAGAAACGCUGGGAAUGCAUGCGCUGUCACUCUUGCCAUGCAUAGUGUAUGCCAGAAGGAUGAUAAUGAGAAGUUAACAUUGUGUUAUCUUACACAAAUUAAUGUAACCUCUGUACACUGUACGUGCUUUCUGUUUCUUUAGUCAACCAAUAUAGAAAUUUAAAUUUA
Long non-coding RNA from Lolium rigidum, 717 nucleotides. RefSeq lists it as uncharacterized. The record is from RefSeq and is a predicted model, not a curated record. The transcript has 2 exons. NCBI's taxonomy places the organism in Eukaryota, Viridiplantae, Streptophyta, Magnoliopsida, Poales, Poaceae.